This 85-nucleotide small nucleolar RNA is filed under the name Sinocyclocheilus anshuiensis. Its description in RNAcentral is "Small nucleolar RNA SNORA47 (ENSSANG00000034940.1)". It matches the Rfam family "Small nucleolar RNA SNORA47". Lineage: Eukaryota; Metazoa; Chordata; Actinopteri; Cypriniformes; Cyprinidae. The record is from RNAcentral.
AGGAGGAUUGAGAAAGUUAAGCAGCUGCAUUUGUUCUGCAUUAACUGGUUAUAACCUCCUAGAAAAAAAAAAAGUGCUAAAGUGC